This 356-nucleotide unclassified non-coding RNA is filed under the name Hevea brasiliensis (rubber tree). Lineage: Eukaryota; Viridiplantae; Streptophyta; Magnoliopsida; Malpighiales; Euphorbiaceae. The record is from RNAcentral.
AAAAAUAAAUAAAAAAGUAGAAACAAGUUAUCUCUAACUUACAGUGGUAACUUUAAAUUAAAAUAAUAAUUUAAUAGUAAUUUUAAACUAAAAUUAGUGUUAAAAAGAUUUUAAUGAAAUUUUGAGUGACAAUUUAAUGAAAACUUUAUGAAAUAAUAAAAGAAUUGUAAAAACAAUCCAUGGGGGGAUCUUUCUUAAAGGAAGCAUUUUUAUUUUUAAGGGUAAUUGAUUUUUUUUAAAAUAUAUUUUUAAGGGCAAAAUUGACUUUUUUCUUAAACAAAAAUCUAAAAAGAAAAUUUUCAUACUUGACAAAUUUUCAAUUGUGACCAAUUUUUAAAAAUAAUAUAUCAGUAAUA